This 497-nucleotide ribosomal RNA is filed under the name uncultured bacterium. Its description in RNAcentral is "partial 16S ribosomal RNA". It matches the Rfam family "Bacterial small subunit ribosomal RNA", at positions 28 to 507 of the family's 1533-position model. The record is from RNAcentral.
GACGAACGCUGGCGGCGUGCCUAAUACAUGCAAGUUGAGCGCUGAAGGUUGGUACUUGUACCAACUGGAUGAGCAGCGAACGGGUGAGUAACGCGUGGGGAAUCUGCCUUUGAGCGGGGGACAACAUUUGGAAACGAAUGCUAAUACCGCAUAAAAACUUUAAACACAAGUUUUAAGUUUGAAAGAUGCAAUUGCAUCACUCAAAGAUGAUCCCGCGUUGUAUUAGCUAGUUGGUGAGGUAAAGGCUCACCAAGGCGAUGAUACAUAGCCGACCUGAGAGGGUGAUCGGCCACAAUGGGACUGAGACACGGCCCAAACUCCUACGGGAGGCAGCAGUAGGGAAUCUUCGGCAAUGGACGAAAGUCUGACCGAGCAACGCCGCGUGAGGGAAGAAGGUUUUCGGAUCGUAAAACUCUGUUGGUAGAGAAGAACGUUGGUGAGAGUGGAAAGCUCAUCAAGUGACGGUAACUACCCAGAAAGGGACGGCUAACUACGUG